AACAACCGCCCCAUUGCCGGGUGGUUCCGCUGCUGCCCAUCGGCCAGACUCUCCUACUGGCCGGUGUGACCUUGACUCUGUGCCAGGUCUGUGGAUGCCCACCGUCGUCAGCUCUUAGUAAGUGUUACCCGCUUUCGGACUACCACACUGCGGCGCACCUCCUACUUCCAGAAGCCUAACAUUUGAGGACAGUACUCUCUCAUUUCGGCCCCCUCCUUUACGGGCGGCCAAACUCUCAUAGAGUUCUCCUUCUCUGCCGAUUGAGACACGGUCGUCGGCGCCAUUAUGUCUCCAGAGUUCGCAACAAGCCUUAGUGACCCGCAUUUCCCACGCAUCCGCCGCGCCUUUCAGCCCCCACUUUAGGGCCCCGAGUUGGGGCCUUGACGGAAGCUAUGAGGGCGCGAGCUCACGACCUCCCCUCAGGCCUUAAGUGCCACCUCGUCACUUUACGCACCUAUAGCACUCCUUGUGAUCACCGCUUCCGCCCUGAGACCUGUCAGUGACUGCGACUCCGUGCUCCCGGUCCCCUCGUUUGCCCUAAUCUAUGGGGCCAUCAGGACCGUCAUUUGCCACGUGCGAACCACACCCCCUUUAGCUGGAGGAGGCACGGCUUCGAUUGCGCUAUUCGCACGGCG
RNAcentral lists this ribosomal RNA (635 nucleotides) under uncultured Verrucomicrobium sp. Its description in RNAcentral is "partial 16S ribosomal RNA". The record is from RNAcentral. Lineage: Bacteria; Pseudomonadati; Verrucomicrobiota; Verrucomicrobiia; Verrucomicrobiales; Verrucomicrobiaceae.